Long non-coding RNA from Rosa rugosa (rugosa rose), 983 nucleotides. RefSeq lists it as uncharacterized. NCBI's taxonomy places the organism in Eukaryota, Viridiplantae, Streptophyta, Magnoliopsida, Rosales, Rosaceae. The transcript is spliced from 3 exons. The record is from RefSeq and is a predicted model, not a curated record.
GAGGCGUGUUGAGCAACAGUGAAGCAGUGCUUCUGCUUUACUUCUUUUGUAUAUUGAAUGAGAAUUGGUGGAAGGCGGUAGGCAGCACAGUGCUUCUGCUUUAGUUCUUUUGUAGUAUUGUAUGCGAUUGUUGGAAGGUGGUAAGCAAGCACAGAAGAGAAAAAAAAAAAAGAGGAAAAGAAAUUCCACUCUCUCCCGUUCUCACGUCCGAAAACAACCCAAAGAACAGAGCAAAUUUCUCCAAGAUUUUUCUCGCUCCACAGGCCAUCGAUCGACCCCAGACCACGUCCCACGCCUUCGCCUCCUCCUUUCACAGCUGCCGGUAACAGCCUUUCGCCGUCUCGUGGGCCGUACACGGCGGUGGAGCACAAGGCCGGUUUACCCCCGUUUUGAUUUCAAGCUUGAUAUCUCAAGCUACCAGUCACCACUCCUCACCAAACUCCAUCCACAAGCUCGCCUCAACGUCCUGAAGCUCCCAGAAGUGGCCUUGCACGGCGGCGCUACUCGUGGUGGCGGCUGGAAGCCAGACCCGAUCAAAUCGAAAACCGAAGCUUCGAGCAAUAUAUCUCGCGCUACAGGACGUUGUUUUGAGUGUUUCUUGAACUGGUGAACUCAGAGUGAGGAUCUGAACAACUUUCCAGAAGGUAUCGAGGCCUGAAGUUGCAGUUUUUACGUCGAACUAGGAGCUCGCCGGUUUCUGGGUUUUUCCGGCCAACCGACUGGUUUGAGGUGAUCGACGGUUUGAUUUGGCGGACGAUUCGUGAAAGUGUAUUUUGAGCUGUUAAGAAGACGCAGCGGGAAUUUAGAGCGGGAAAUCCUACAGGUCAGGAGAACCAGGACGGUGAUCGGGCUGCUUAGAGUAGUGUUAUGUGAAUUACAGCAUUAUAUUGUGAGGUUUGUUAUGCUCAUUUAGAGCUUUGCAAUUUUACUUUGUAAGAGUGAAUUGUAAUAAUUAACUCGAGGGUUUCGAGUUUUUGUGUUGA